Delphinapterus leucas (beluga whale) is the source of this 437-nucleotide long non-coding RNA. RefSeq lists it as uncharacterized. Lineage: Eukaryota; Metazoa; Chordata; Mammalia; Artiodactyla; Monodontidae. The record is from RefSeq and is a predicted model, not a curated record.
CUCUGAGCUCUGUCUCCUCAGAUCCCAGGCAUUCUCCCUCGGGAUUCACUGUGCAUCACCAGGCUUUGAGCCUCCCCAGUUGUGACAACCAUUCAUGCACUCGUUCCUGUGCCCGAUGCUCUGCUAGCACUGAAUACGCAGCAGCACAGCCGGAAGACUGCCCUCGGAGCUUACGUUCUAAACAAGGAUGUAGACAACUCGCGUGUGCCCGGCACGUCAGGCGGUGGAGCUGUGCCCCAGACACGUAUUUUCCUGGGUUAAACCAUGGACCUUGGAGGCAAGCUGAGAAAUACCAUCUCAAUGAAAAUGUUGAUUUAUGAAACUCCACUCAGUACAAGGUAACAAGAGCCAUAAAGCCCUUCAACUUUCACUUAAUAAUUCCAUGCCUGGGAAUUCAUCCUGAGGAGACAAUUUAAUAAAACAGUGUUUUCCCAGGG